UAUUAUGGAGAUUGGUAUCUCGUAGAGAUUCUCGGUGAGCUUUUCUAAGUUCCUUGUUUGCUCCUUGAAAGGUCGUUCCAUUGUCUGAAUACAUGGAUUUUGGAAUUCCGCGUCGGGACACAAAUCUCGUAUAAGCUGCUAGGAAUGCGGCUGAUGUAUAGUCGCUUACGAGAUCUAAAUGGACGGCCUUUGUUGCCAUACAAACAAAAACUGCAAUGUAAGCUUUGUGCGAUUUGUGUCCUCGUCCCGAUGUAGUACGAACGUGAAUCGGGCCUGCGUAGUCGACACCUGUAUUUAUGAAUGGUCUUUCUACCGCAGUGACUCUGGAUGCCGGUAAAUCUCCCAUGAGCUCAGACGGAACAGAUGCGCGAUGACGAGCGCAUGGUACGCACCUAUGUAAAACGGAUCGUAUCGUGGUGCGUGCUCGCAAGAUCCAGUACUCACGUCGCAAACAGGCAAGAGUGAGUUGCGAACCUGCGUGCAGAUGGAUUACGAAAUAGCGAGUGUGCAAGUCGCCCUUUCGCCCUAAUAAGCCCGUCUUGGUCUAGGAUAGGGUUAAGAGAAAGUAACUUGCUGGAUUUUAGGAGAGUCCUUUUCGCAGACAGACUACUAAGCUCAUCCGGAAAUAGCUCGGAUUGCAUUCUUCUCAACCAAAGGAAUUUUGCUCUCUGAAUCUCGUCGGGUUGAAGAGGAGGCACUGCUAUUAGUGACUUAAUGGUGAGAGCACUGAUUGAGUUGGGAUAUUUUCCACUUCCCAGAAGCGGCGAAGAUCUGCAUCGAGAUUUUCUAACAACGUAGCGUGAUGGGCAUCUAUAAAGAAAGGAAGAGGAUGAGUGGACGUAGGACCAGAUAGGAUCCAUCCCAGGUGUGUAUUUUGCGCGAUCGGUUCACUUGUAGAACCUUUCCGAACUCCGUCCAAUAAUAAUUGACCAAACAAAUCCGCACCGAUAACGAUAUCGAUCGGAUCUGAGCUCAUGGGGUCUG
Molecule: long non-coding RNA, 984 nt
Organism: Osmia bicornis bicornis
Lineage: Eukaryota; Metazoa; Arthropoda; Insecta; Hymenoptera; Megachilidae
Exons: 3
Source: RefSeq, a predicted model, not a curated record